This 460-nucleotide ribosomal RNA is filed under the name uncultured bacterium. RNAcentral describes it as "partial 16S ribosomal RNA". It matches the Rfam family "Bacterial small subunit ribosomal RNA", at positions 338 to 795 of the family's 1533-position model. The record is from RNAcentral.
CCUACGGGUGGCAGCAGUGAGGAAUAUUAGUCAAUGGGCGGGAGCCUGAACCAGCCAAGUCGCGUGAGGGAAGACGGUCCUAUGGAUUGUAAACUCCUUUAGGCGGGGAGCAAUGCCGGGCACGUGUGACCGGAGGGAGAGUACCCGCAGAAGAAGCAACGGCUAACUCAGUGCCAGCAGCCGCGGUAAUACGGAGGAUGCGAGGGUUAUCCGGAUUUAUUGGGUUAAAGGGGUGCGUAGGCGGAUUUUUAAGUCAGCGGUAAAAUGUCCGGGCUCAACCCGGGCCGGCCGUUGAAACUGGGGGUCUUGAGUGGGCGAGAGGUAGGCGGAAUGCGUGGUGUAGCGGUGAAAGGCAUAGAUAUCACGCAGAACUCCGAUUGCGAAGGCAGCAUACCGGCGCCCGACUGACGCUGAGGCACGAAAGCGUGGGGAUCGAACAGGAUUAGAUACCCUAGUAGUC